Molecule: ribosomal RNA, 468 nt
Filed under: uncultured bacterium
Lineage: Bacteria
Description: partial 16S ribosomal RNA
Rfam family: Bacterial small subunit ribosomal RNA
Source: RNAcentral
GACGAACGCUGGCGGCGUGCUUAACACAUGCAAGUCGAACGGAAAGGCCCUGCUUUUGUGGGGUGCUCGAGUGGCGAACGGGUGAGUAACACGUGAGUAACCUGCCCUUGACUUUGGGAUAACUUCAGGAAACUGGGGCUAAUACCGGAUAGGAGCUCCUGCUGCAUGGUGUUGGUUGGAAAGUUUCGGCGGUGGGGGAUGGACUCGCGGCUUAUCAGCUUGUUGGUGGGGUAGUGGCUUACCAAGGCUUUGACGGGUAGCCGGCCUGAGAGGGUGACCGGCCACAUUGGGACUGAGAUACGGCCCAGACUCCUACGGGAGGCAGCAGUGGGGAAUAUUGCACAAUGGGCGGAAGCCUGAUGCAGCAACGCCGCGUGCGGGAUGACGGCCUUCGGGUUGUAAACCGCUUUCGCCUGUGACGAAGCGUGAGUGACGGUAACGGGUAAAGAAGCACCGGCUAACUACGUG